CGCAUCUGUGCAUGCAGCAUAUCAAUAAGCGGAGGAAAAGAAACUAACAAGGAUUCCCUUAGUAACGGCGAGUGAAGCGGGAAGAGCUCAAAUUUGAAAUCUUCAAGGUUUUACCUUGACGAAUUGUAGUUUAAAGAAGUGUUUUCUGUUGAAGUUUUGGUAAAAGUUCUUUGGAAUAGGACAUCAUAGAGGGUGAGGAUCCCGUAUUUGACCAUUAUUUUCAGCUGUGUGAUACACUUUCAAAGAGUCGGAUUGUUUGGGAAUGCAGUCCAAAAUGGGUGGUAAAUUUCAUCUAAAGCUAAAUAUUGGCGAGAGACCGAUAGCGAACAAGUACCGUGAGGGAAAGAUGAAAAGAACUUUGAAAAGAGAGUUAAACAGUACGUGAAAUUGUCAAAAGGGAAGCGUUUGACACCAGUGUUGUUUUCUCGAAAAUCAAUUAAAAAGAGUUUGAUUUUGUUGUGUAUUGACCUUAACAGCUUGCAUUUCAAUUUUCUUGCUUUUUUUAAUGCACUUUUCGUUUAACAAGUCAACAUCAGUUUCUUUUGUUGUAAAAAGGUCAUUGGAAGGUGGCUUUCUUUUCGGAGAAAGUGUUUAUAGCCUUUGACUCCUGCAAUCGGAGAGACUGAGGUCUGCAGCGUAGAUCCUUCGGGGUUAGGAUACAUUUGUGCUAAGUUAUAGCAUUUUAUAGACAACUUGUUGACUAUGAUUAGUCUUGUAGCUUACUCGCUUAUGCUAUUUUACCUACGCUUAGGAUGUUGAUGUGAUACUGCGAGCA
RNAcentral lists this ribosomal RNA (775 nucleotides) under uncultured Neocallimastigales. Its description in RNAcentral is "partial large subunit ribosomal RNA". It matches the Rfam family "Eukaryotic large subunit ribosomal RNA", at positions 26 to 629 of the family's 3401-position model. Lineage: Eukaryota; Fungi; Neocallimastigomycota; Neocallimastigomycetes; Neocallimastigales. The record is from RNAcentral.